UUCACUUUUUUAACUUUAGUUAGUGUGUAAUGUUGCUGCUUAAGCAUAAACAGUAUCUGCAAAGUUACAGCGCUGAAAGUUAAAUGCAAACGGAGAUAUUGUCUUUUAAAGUUAUGACAGUUUAAUGCCUACAAAAACGACCGGUUUGGACUACAACGAGCUUCUUCCCAGGUUGGUGACAUCAUAAACCCUGCAAUUGAUAAACACUGCCCCCGGGAACACGCAAAAAAGUGGGCGAGGCCAUGUCGCGUGCAUACAAGUCUUCUUCCUAGGGACGCUGGACUUCGGGAACAAUGUUUAAAAUGUAUGUUUAAUUCUGUUCCUGACAAUUAUAAUGCUAAUUUAGCUUUCUGUGCUGCACAUUUUAUGGAAGACAGCUUCCAGAAUCUACAUGAGUUCAAUGCUGGAUUUGCACAAAGGCUAUUACUGAAAGAUGGAGCAGUUCCCACUUUAAAAGCAGAAGCUGCUGUUUAUGGGCCCCAACCUCAGCAGAGAGCGUCCCUUAUCUUCUGAGGCUGAGAAAACUAAAAUGCCUGACGUUGCGAGCCGUUCGUUCCCGCUCCUGCUCCAUUCAAAUCUUGCGCGCGCUGACAGGGUCCGGUAUUUUCAUCAUAGAGAGAUUUACAUCAUAAGAAGCAGACACUUUCUUCUGAACUGUCCUCAGAGGCUUCAAAUACAGCACUGAAGAAGAGCUGCAGCUGACUUGAUUCUUGCUGCGCUGAGAAGAAUCUGCUUGAAAUCACAGCAGAAUUAAUGACAUCGCUGUGAAAUCUUGUGAGAAGCG
Ctenopharyngodon idella (grass carp) is the source of this 784-nucleotide long non-coding RNA. RefSeq lists it as uncharacterized. The transcript has 4 exons. NCBI's taxonomy places the organism in Eukaryota, Metazoa, Chordata, Actinopteri, Cypriniformes, Xenocyprididae. The record is from RefSeq and is a predicted model, not a curated record.